CCUACGGGGGGCAGCAGUAGGGAAUCUUUCACAAUGGGCGAAAGCCUGAUGGAGCAACGCCGCGUGCAGGAUGAAGGCCUUCGGGUUGUAAACUGCUUUUAUAAGCGAGAAAUAUGAUGGUAACUUAUGAAUAAGGAUCGGCUAACUACGUGCCAGCAGACGCGGUCAUACGUAGGAUCCGAGCAUUAUCCGGAGUGACUGGGUGUAAAGAGUUGCGUAGGUGGCAUAAUAAGUAGCUAGUGAAAUCUGGUGGCUCAACCAUUCAGACUAUUAGCUAAACUGUUAAGCUCGAGACCGUUAGGGGUAACUGGAAUUUCUAGUGUAGGAGUGAAAUCCGUAGAUAUUAGAAGGAACACCAAUAGCGUAGGCAGGUUGCUGGGACGGUUCUGACACUAAGGCACGAAAGCGUAGGGAGCAAACGGGAUUAGAUACCCGUGUAGUC
This 442-nucleotide ribosomal RNA is filed under the name uncultured bacterium. RNAcentral's name for it is "partial 16S ribosomal RNA". It matches the Rfam family "Bacterial small subunit ribosomal RNA", at positions 338 to 795 of the family's 1533-position model. The record is from RNAcentral.